RNAcentral lists this ribosomal RNA (492 nucleotides) under uncultured bacterium. RNAcentral's name for it is "partial 16S ribosomal RNA". It matches the Rfam family "Bacterial small subunit ribosomal RNA", at positions 29 to 507 of the family's 1533-position model. The record is from RNAcentral.
AGUGAACGCUGGCGGUAGGCCUAACACAUGCAAGUCGAACGGCAGCACAGUAAGAGCUUGCUCUUACGGGUGGCGAGUGGCGGACGGGUGAGGAAUACAUCGGAAUCUACUUUUUCGUGGGGGAUAACGUAGGGAAACUUACGCUAAUACCGCAUACGACCUACGGGUGAAAGCAGGGGAUCUUCGGACCUUGCGCGAUUGAAUGAGCCGAUGUCGGAUUAGCUAGUUGGCGGGGUAAAGGCCCACCAAGGCGACGAUCCGUAGCUGGUCUGAGAGGAUGAGGAGGAAGAAGGGGAAAAGAACAAGGACAGGACGCAUACGGGAGGCAGCAGUGGGGGGUAGUUGAAGAAGGGCUGAAGGUUGAUCAAGCCAUUAAGCGUGAAAGAAGAAGGGCUUCUGAUUGCCAAGCUCUUUUGAUGGGAAAGAAAAACAAAAGGUUAAAAACCUGCGGUUCUGAAGGUACCCAAAGAAUAAGCACCGGCUCACUUCAUG